GCGCACAUUUCAUUGUCUUUUUUCUUCAUAUUAAGAGAAAAAAGAUAUUUCUGAUGUGCUAAACAAACUUGGAGGUAAAUUAGCAGCGUGGCUACUUUGGCCACUGCUGUCAGUCACCUUCAGACAAGU
This is a small nucleolar RNA of Chionomys nivalis (European snow vole), 129 nucleotides long. The record is from RefSeq and is a predicted model, not a curated record. NCBI's taxonomy places the organism in Eukaryota, Metazoa, Chordata, Mammalia, Rodentia, Cricetidae.